This 229-nucleotide ribosomal RNA is filed under the name uncultured bacterium. RNAcentral's name for it is "partial 16S ribosomal RNA". It matches the Rfam family "Bacterial small subunit ribosomal RNA", at positions 30 to 239 of the family's 1533-position model. The record is from RNAcentral.
AGUGAACGCUGGCGGCAGGCCUAACACAUGCAAGUCGAGCGGCAGCGGGUUCCCGCGAGGGGAUGCCGGCGAGCGGCGGACGGGUGAGGAACACAUCGGAAUCUGCCUGGUUGUGGGGAUAACGUAGGAACGUUACGCUAAUACGCAUGCGACCCUGAGUCGACGGACGUGGGGGUGGAAAGGUAGGGGACCGUUCGGGCCUCGACGCGACCAGAUGAGCCGAUGUCGG